Molecule: ribosomal RNA, 497 nt
Filed under: uncultured bacterium
Lineage: Bacteria
Description: partial 16S ribosomal RNA
Rfam family: Bacterial small subunit ribosomal RNA
Source: RNAcentral
GAUGAACGCUGGCGGCGUGCCUAAUACAUGCAAGUCGAGCGAACAGACGAGGAGCUUGCUCCUCUGACGUUAGCGGCGGACGGGUGAGUAACACGUGGAUAACCUACCUAUAAGACUGGGAUAACUUCGGGAAACCGGAGCUAAUACCGGAUAAUAUAUUGAACCGCAUGGUUCAAUAGUGAAAGACGGUUUUGCUGUCACUUAUAGAUGGAUCCACGCCGCAUUAGCUAGUUGGUAAGGUAACGGCUUACCAAGGCAACGAUGCGUAGCCGACCUGAGAGGGUGAUCGGCCACACUGGAACUGAGACACGGUCCAGACUCCUACGGGAGGCAGCAGUAGGGAAUCUUCCGCAAUGGGCGAAAGCCUGACGGAGCAACGCCGCGUGAGUGAUGAAGGUCUUCGGGUCGUAAAACUCUGUUAUUAGGGAAGAACAAAUGUGUAAGUAACUAUGCACGUCUUGACGGUACCUAAUCAGAAAGCCACGGCUAACUACGUG